RNAcentral lists this long non-coding RNA (231 nucleotides) under Lathyrus oleraceus (garden pea). RNAcentral's name for it is "Pisum sativum (pea) long non-coding RNA (PSAT_LNC011295)". The record is from RNAcentral. Lineage: Eukaryota; Viridiplantae; Streptophyta; Magnoliopsida; Fabales; Fabaceae.
GUAGUUGUAAUCCCUAUUCUUGUUUCCCAGAGAGUUAAUCCUUGAUAUGUUCAUCCUAACCAAUGACGGGUUUCCUUCUCUUUGUGGUCUUCUACCUAGUAACAGAUAGUUGUAAAUCUUGCUUUUGUCCCCUCCGCAGAGUUAAUCCUUGAUAUGUUAACUUUAACUAGUGACAGAUUCUCUCUCUUGGUAUUCUAUCCAGUAACUGAUAGAUGUAAUUCCUAUUUUUCC